AUUCCAGCUCCAAUAGCGUAUAUUAAAGUUGUUGCAGUUAAAAAGCUCGUAGUUGGAUUUCUGGCAGAGUGUCCUCCGUCCAGCAGUUCGUUUGGUUCGGAGCGCUCUACCAUCCUUCUGUUAACCUUUCCGGGAUUUACUUUUCUGACUGGGGCUCAGAUAUUUUACCUUGAGAAAAUUAGAGUGUUUCAGGCAGGCUAUUCGCCGGAAUACAUUAGCAUGGAAUAAUGGAAAAGGACUGCAACCUCUUCUGUUGGUCUGGGAGGCUGAAGUAAUGAUUAAUAGGGAUAGUUGGGGGCAUUAGUACUUUCCAGUCAGAGGUGAAAUUCUCCAAUUUGGUAAAGACUAACUUAUGCGAAAGCAUUUGCCAAGGAUGUUUUCAUUG
Molecule: ribosomal RNA, 385 nt
Filed under: Leegaardiella sp.
Lineage: Eukaryota; Ciliophora; Spirotrichea; Choreotrichida; Leegaardiellidae
Description: partial small subunit ribosomal RNA
Rfam family: Eukaryotic small subunit ribosomal RNA
Source: RNAcentral